CUGGGUAUAAACUGCAACUUUACAAUAUGCAUGUAACCUUGGGCAACUGGUUUAACUUCUCAAACUUCCAGUUUCCUGAAAGGAACAACAGCGACCUCAUAGGGUUGUUAGUGAGAUCACAAUUAAUAAUCUUGUUUUAAAGCAUCUUGUCUAGGGCCUACCCAGCAGUUGUUAGAGGAAGGCAGUGCAGCAGAGUAGCUAAGAAAUAAGCUAUGAAAUUAAGCAUCAUGAAAUUGACUCCCAGCCCUCUAGCUGACUAGAAACCUAGAGCAGUUUCUCAACUUCUCUAAUUUAAAAAAAUCUUUAUCUAUAAAAAGGUGGGUAAGACAUGUACCUAAGGCCUUGGAAUCAGACUGCCAGAUGUGGAUCCUAGCUGAAUUUACUGGAUAUAGUUUGUUCUCUAGAGAAAGAAAUCACCCAAGACCAUUUGGAUGCAGAGCUUGAGAAAUGGAAUACUCAAAAAUUACUUCAAGUUUCAAGCAUUAGUGACCAAGACAAUAAUGUUAUCAUUGAAAUAACUGAGUUCAGCAGAAUAGCCCAGAAAAAAAGAACAAUGGUUGUUUCAGAAUGAGGUCUCCUGAGUUUCUUUACAGCAAUUAAAUACACAAAUAGUAACGUCCAUUCAAAUCGUACUAUAAUUUAGCGGAAGGUUCAGCCUGGGCAAGCCUAAGUCAACUUCAUAUUUAAGUGGAAUAGAAAAUAGCUAUUGAGUUUUGAAGACAAAAAAAACUCAGCUCUCUCAUUAUUUUUGUGUAAUAUAUAAAAUUCCCACUAUCAAACGUUCAUUCCUUUGAUUUAGAUACUGUCUUUCCAGGAUUUCCAGAUGGGUUACCCAUAGUAGAAGGGGCUUCCCAGGAAGCUCAAAUGGUAAAGAAUUUGCUUGCAAUGCUGGACACCUGGGUUCGAUCCCUGGGUCAGGAAGAUCCCCUAGAGAAGGGCAUGGCAACCCACUCCAGUAUUCUUGCCUGGACAAUCCCAUGGACAGAGGAGCCUGGCGGGCUACAGUCCAUGGACAAAGAGUCGGACACAACUGAGCAACAAACAUACAUUCAUAGCAGAACAGAAGAAUUGUGUUCCACCUGGCAAAGUUUGGGAGAGCAGAAAAAGUCUGGAGGAGGCACCACAGAAAAUGGCAGCUACAUGAGGUUUCUGGUCAUGCAGGAUAAGGAUGAAGAACAGAAGAAAAGAGAGCAUCAAAGACAGAUUUUACCUUAUUAAACCUGAAACACAGAUUCAAAUAGUUUAAAACAUGAAAAUAACCCAAAAGAUCUUCUAGAAUAACAGUUUCCAGAAUCACAUUUCUUCAUUUUAACAUGAGGGAAUUCAACUCGCUUCCUACAGUAUCUUCAAGCCCCAAGGUUCACCAACAAAGAUUUAUCUUAAAAUCUGUCUUCCUAAUUUUAGCUGAACUUCA
Molecule: long non-coding RNA, 1414 nt
Organism: Bos taurus (domestic cattle)
Lineage: Eukaryota; Metazoa; Chordata; Mammalia; Artiodactyla; Bovidae
Source: Ensembl